RNAcentral lists this ribosomal RNA (332 nucleotides) under uncultured bacterium. RNAcentral's name for it is "bacterial SSU rRNA". It matches the Rfam family "Bacterial small subunit ribosomal RNA", at positions 568 to 898 of the family's 1533-position model. The record is from RNAcentral.
CGUGUAGGCGGUUGGUCAAGUCUGAUGUGAAAGCCCGGGGCUCAGCUCCGGAAGGGCAUCGGAAACUAACCAGCUGGAGCGCGAUAGAGGAGGGCGGAAUUCCUGGUGUAGCGGUGAAAUGCGUAGAUAUCAGGAGGAACACCGGCGGCGAAGGCGGCCCUCUGGAUCGUUGCUGACGCUGAGACGCGAAAGCGUGGGGAGCAAACAGGAUUAGAUACCCUGGUAGUCCACGCUGUAAACUAUGGGUACUAGGUGUUCGGGGUAUUGACCCCCUGAGUGCCGCAGCUAACGCAUUAAGUACCCCGCCUGGGGACUACGGCCGCAAGGUUAAA